This 538-nucleotide long non-coding RNA is filed under the name Ananas comosus (pineapple). RNAcentral describes it as "long non-coding RNA (ACOM_LNC001176)". The record is from RNAcentral. Lineage: Eukaryota; Viridiplantae; Streptophyta; Magnoliopsida; Poales; Bromeliaceae.
AAAAAAAUUUAUUUCGGCAGAUAACCCUAUUUUGUCCGGCUCAGUAUAGAGAUAGAAAAAUAAUUGAAAGGUGGUCAAUCGUUUACCGUCUUUAAUGCAAUUUAGAAGAUGGUGAAAGAUUCACCAUCUUUUUUUAUUCUUUAAAGACAGUAAAUGGUGCAUGGUCUUUUCCUUAAAGAUAAAAAUGGUGAAUGAUUUGCCAUAUCUUUCUAUUUUUCAUAUAUAAUAUCAACAAUCACAUAAUAAUUUUUCAACAAAUUAUAUAUAAUCCUAACAACCUAAAAUAUUCUAACAACAUACCUGCACUAUUUUAACGAUCAAACAAAAAUUCUAAUAAUCCCCAUAUAAUCUUAACAACCUCAUAAAACUUAUAAAAUAAUGAAAACAAUAUAAAAAUGGCUAAUCAUUCGUCGUUUUCUAAAGACGGUGAAUGAUUCACCGUGUUUCUCAAGUUAGUUGGCUAAAUAAAAUUUUGAAAGAGUUAUUUGAAAAAUUAGAAAAUUUUAUAGAAUUAUCAUUAAAAAAAGUCUGCUUAGAG